AUGGUCGAGGAGGAUGGAAUUGAUGGUUGUUUUGAGUUGAGGUGGCUCUCCUCUCCUUCCCUCCCCCCUCCCCACUCUCCCUCUCCCCGUGUGGCCCCGCUCCCUGUUGGCCUUGCUCCAGCGAUCUCUUCACCCACCGUGUCGCCCCUCUCCUCCCCCUUCCCCUCCUCGUCGUUGCUGCGCCCGUCAGCGGCCUCGGCGCCGCCUUUCGGAUCUCGGUUCUGGGCUCUCAGCGAUGAUGGAUAUGAAUACUUUGAUGGGGAGGCCGCUCCUUCUCUGGCGCCUCCAUUGCCUACGCUGGCUUCCAAGGGUUCGUCUCGCCCUCGCAAGUUUGCCCCUAGGGGCAGGGGCCGACCAGUGGCGUCGCUGGAGGGGCCCUCUAGCUGGCACCGUGUGUCUCGCCGUCGUUGGAAAUCUGGUAAAUUCUCUACUCCCUCUGCGGCCACGAGUAUCCUUGGUGUAGCACCGUCCAUGGUGAGGAUGAUGGCCGAUAGCGUGUACUCCCCUGGCUUGGGCGGAAAUGCCACGGUAGAAGAGGCCUCACUAAAGAGCAUGCAAUACCUGAAGGUGGUUAUUAAAGAGACCUUGCGGCUACACCCUCCUGCCUCGCUCUUCCCUAGAGUGGACCCAAACUAUUGGAACGAGACACAAAAAUUCAUGCCAGAGAGAUUUGAAGGCGAUGGUGUUGUCGACUUCAGAGGUUUGGACUUUAAGUUCACUCCUUUCGGUGUUGGGCGGAGGAUUUGCCCUAGGAUUGAUUUUGCGUAUUCAAAUCUUGAGAUUGCAUUGGCUAGCCUAAUUUACCAUUUGGACUGGGAGCUUCCUCCCAGAGUGGACCCAAGGGAAAUAGACAUGACAGAGGUGUUUGGAGCAAUUGUUCGAAGGAAGGCUGAGCUAUUCCUAAGUCCCAUUCCUCAUGUCCCCCUCUAG
This 930-nucleotide ribosomal RNA is filed under the name Triticum aestivum (bread wheat). RNAcentral's name for it is "partial small subunit ribosomal RNA". The record is from RNAcentral. Lineage: Eukaryota; Viridiplantae; Streptophyta; Magnoliopsida; Poales; Poaceae.